GCUGAGCGAAGGCUGCGGCAGAGUCUAUCGUUAUCCCGACCCGGUGAGACGGUGGAGGCAGUGAGUGUGUAGAAGUCGCUAGGAGCGCGAUCUCGUUCCCAUCAGGGAGAUGCGGUGGGACAGCUGGUGCAAGGUGACAGUUGAUGAGAAGAUAUUUCUACGGAGAAGUCACGGUGGAUUUGGCAAGGGAAAAUGAUGCUGGACCAAGCCGGUCCUGGUGCAGCUGGUUGCAGUGCUGCAUGUGUGGAAGAGAUGUGCCAGGUAAGAGUGUUUGUAGAGGUAGUGGCUUUUGUGUGGUUACCUGGUUUAGAGUGUUCAUCUAGGGGGGAAGAGCACAGCCUGCACACUUGUGGGCUGUGCUCUUCCCCCCUAGGAAUGGGGCUGUUGGCUGGGUUUUGCACUAUCUCAGAGAGAUUAUUUUUUUUUUGGGUGGGAGGGUGGGUGCUGGUCAGUAACGGAUUUUAUUCUGUGGUUGGAGUGUGGCAGCCCUGGGAGGGGCUGAGGGGGGCCCUCCUGCCUGGUGGGAGAGCCCCCUCUGGCCUGUCUGGGGCUCCCCCUGAGUGGGGGGGGAAGUAUGGGGGAGCCCCUCUGGCCUGUCUGGGGCUCCCCCUGAGUGGGGGGAGAGACCUCCCUGGUAAAGGGGUCUCUUCUCUGGAUCCUGGAGUGGCUCCUGUGUGGUGA
Molecule: long non-coding RNA, 681 nt
Filed under: Meleagris gallopavo (turkey)
Lineage: Eukaryota; Metazoa; Chordata; Aves; Galliformes; Phasianidae
Description: lncRNA (ENSMGAG00000022995.1)
Source: RNAcentral